Molecule: unclassified non-coding RNA, 994 nt
Filed under: Sipha flava (yellow sugarcane aphid)
Lineage: Eukaryota; Metazoa; Arthropoda; Insecta; Hemiptera; Aphididae
Description: uncharacterized LOC112689937, transcript variant X3
Source: RNAcentral
UAGUUUAUCAAAAUUUAUUUUGGUGUUUGGUUUAAUCCACCUUAAGUGUUUAAAUAAAUCUUUGGAUUGAAAAAAAAAAACUGCUUCUUCGGUAUAUUUAAAAACAUCAAAAGUGCUUAUGUUAAAAAGAAAUGUUAUGUUAAUUACUAGCUUGUAUGAUGAUUAUUGACUUAAAAUAUCAUUUUAGACUCAUAAGAAGUUCCGUUGAAAUUCUUAUGUGUAAGGUGAAAACUUUUUAUAAUUCACUAAAUUCUCUAAUUGAAAGGCCAUCAGACUAUAAAAAGGCAACAUUGAUGACUGUAUGGUAUUUGAGUAUUAUGGAAACAUUACGUCAAAUUGGAGAUAGUUUUGAUUUAAGCAGAGGUCUUGCCUUUCGAACAAUUCAUAAGUUUAUUCGAGUUCUUUCAAAACUACUUAAUGAUUUUAUUUUAUGGCUCAAAGGGAGUUCUAUAACCGAUGAAAACGUCGUAGUGCACGUGCCCGUUUCAAAAAAGUCCGCGUUAUGUUUGGCCGACAACCGCUCGGUAACCAGCAAAUUAACCGGUAACGCGGUUCGCGUGCGCGUUGUUUGGUUGACGAUGGGACGACGCUACGACGCCUCCGCCGGGAUCGCAACUACACCCAGUUAGGGAUAGGGUAUCGACAGUAUGUCAACGACCCCCCACACUCGACCAUUACUGGGCAUUCCGACAUUCCAUCUGUAACACGACAGUGUCCGUUGAUUCGAAACCUAACCAACGUUCUACUGUUGCAGCAAGUGUACGUAAGACGUCGUACCAUUCGUUCAUCUGACGAUCCUUUUCACAUACGCACAAACCGUUCGGAGUUAACUGUUGAAUUUUUGAUACCACAGUGAUCAAAAUGGGCAUAAAUGAUAAACCAAAUAAAUCCAAAUUGAAACCAUUUGUGAUGAGAAAAGGAGAUACGAAGAAGAGAAAUGGAGGAAAAUUCACCAGAGUUCUUUAGGAAUCAAAUGCAGAGAGUGAUUGACAAU